RNAcentral lists this unclassified non-coding RNA (1406 nucleotides) under Leishmania donovani. Its description in RNAcentral is "gene:unknown". The record is from RNAcentral. Lineage: Eukaryota; Euglenozoa; Kinetoplastea; Trypanosomatida; Trypanosomatidae.
UCGUCUUUUUUCCCCUUUCCUGCUUCCGCCAAGCUACCACAUUUCCGUCACUGUCGCCCCUUCAUUUUUUUUUUCAUUGCUUUCUUUUCGUUUGUGUGCUCCUGUCUCUCCUCGCCUCUUUUAUGUCCUCUCUCCUUUUUCCCUCUCCUCCCUUGGUGUGUAUUUGCGUGUAUGUGUGGAGGGGGGGGAGUGUGUGUGUCAUCAUCUUGUCUGUGGUGAUCCGCCACUCUUCUUGCUUCCCCCUCCCUUUGGCAUGCUGGUUUUGGUUGUGUGUGCCUCGUGUCUGCGUUGGUGCUCAGGUAUGUGUGUGUGUCUUCUUUCUUCGUCUUACUGAUGUUGAAGCGUCUGUCUCCCUUCUCAGCAGUAUUUGGGGGUUUGGUGUGUGGCUGCGUGCGUGCUGGUGCAUCUCUCUCUUCCUUUCCCCUUGCCCGUUUUCCGUCAUCGUCGCCUCGACUCCGCCCUGCGCGUACGCUCGUCUUUCCCUCCUGCGUCUGUGCAGCUGAAGAGGGAAGGGGAAGGGUGCGCUCACCCCCCCCCCGGAUAUGGGGUCUCGUGGAAGCAAAAGUGGACCAUGUCCUCUCGUGCUUUGAUUGCGCGCCCUUUUUAAAACUUCCCUCGAUCGGCACGCGUUGGCAAUCUUUUUUUUUUUCACAGUGGCUACAGAGAGAAAGAGGGGAUGGAUAAAGGCGAGCCGAAGGCAGAAGGGAGGUGCUGUCGGUAGUACCAAGUACACGACCUCACAAACAUGUGCAGCGGUGGGGAAGACAAGGAUGCGAACGCGUUUCAGCAAAAAUGGUCUGACGAUGGGCGGAGCCACAUUAGCCGCUUGAAAGGAACUACGUCGGCGAACGAAGCAGGUAUCGGAGACACGGGGGUAGUUGGAAGAGGGAGCGCGACAUGCACCACCUCCACGCUCCUUGUCGCUUUCCUAAUGCGUCCUCUAUUCAUGACACCCGCAUGCACACACAUACAGCAACUGACAAGUUGCAAAGUACUUCUCUUGUUUUUUUUUUGUGUGCUGCGUGGUCUGUUGGGAUUCGUUAGCAACCACUUCAUAGGAAGCUAUUCGGCAAGAGAGAACACGCAUCGACAGAUAGCAAAAGACGAAGCGACAGGAGAGGAAAGAAUUUGCUGUCCUUCCUCUUUUCUUUUUUAUUGCUGUUGCCUUCUGUGGAUUCAGACACACACUCACACACAACUACGCCAGCGCGUGUACGGGGCUCACGCGAGCGUACAGCCAGCGAUGGAGAGAGGGGGUGGGGGCAACAAGAGCAGUCUACAUUAAGUCGACGACAAAACAACUUCCCCUCUCCCUCCAAAAGAGGCGCCUACACAUUAGGGCAAACGCACGCGCGCACAACCUCUCCUUCUUUUCCUCUCCUCUCUCUCUAACACACCUCCGAUAG